Non-coding RNA from Salmo salar (Atlantic salmon), 72 nucleotides. The record is from Rfam. NCBI's taxonomy places the organism in Eukaryota, Metazoa, Chordata, Actinopteri, Salmoniformes, Salmonidae.
GGCAUGGUGGCCAAGUGGUAAGGUGUUGGUCUUGUAAACCGAAGUUCAUGGGUUCAUAUCCCUUCUGUGCCU